This 75-nucleotide transfer RNA is filed under the name Ekhidna lutea. It matches the Rfam family "tRNA". Rfam says of the family: Transfer RNA (tRNA) molecules are approximately 80 nucleotides in length. The record is from Rfam by way of RNAcentral. Lineage: Bacteria; Pseudomonadati; Bacteroidota; Cytophagia; Cytophagales; Reichenbachiellaceae. RNAcentral also lists the same sequence under 4 other names.
CGGGAUGUGGCUCAGUCCGGUUAGAGUACCCGCUUAGGGUGCGGGAGGUCGCUGGUUCGAAUCCAGUCAUCCCGA